UGGGGAAUAUUGCACAAUGGGCGCAAGCCUGAUGCAGCCAUGCCGCGUGUAUGAAGAAGGCCUUCGGGUUGUAAAGUACUUUCAGCGGGGAGGAAGGGAGUAAAGUUAAUACCUUUGCUCAUUGACGUUACCCGCAGAAGAAGCACCGGCUAACUCCGUGCCAGCAGCCGCGGUAAUACGGAGGGUGCAAGCGUUAAUCGGAAUUACUGGGCGUAAAGCGCACGCAGGCGGUUUGUUAAGUCAGAUGUGAAAUCCCCGGGCUCAACCUGGGAACUGCAUCUGAUACUGGCAAGCUUGAGUCUCGUAGAGGGGGGUAGAAUUCCAGGUGUAGCGGUGAAAUGCGUAGAGAUCUGGAGGAAUACCGGUGGCGAAGGCGGCCCCCUGGACGAAGACUGACGCUCAGGUGCGAAAGCGUGGGGUGCAAACAGG
RNAcentral lists this ribosomal RNA (429 nucleotides) under Chloroflexota bacterium. Its description in RNAcentral is "Chloroflexi bacterium partial 16S ribosomal RNA". It matches the Rfam family "Bacterial small subunit ribosomal RNA", at positions 355 to 776 of the family's 1533-position model. Lineage: Bacteria; Bacillati; Chloroflexota. The record is from RNAcentral.